Molecule: long non-coding RNA, 451 nt
Organism: Suricata suricatta (meerkat)
Lineage: Eukaryota; Metazoa; Chordata; Mammalia; Carnivora; Herpestidae
Exons: 2
Source: RefSeq, a predicted model, not a curated record
GCCAGUCCAACGGGGACCUCUGGGCACACUGUCUAUCACAGAAGUUCCUACAUGGGCAAAUGGCCAGGUCCUUGACAGCUGCCUUGCUCAGUGAGUGAACAGGAGCUACUGUAAGAUCAGAGUGACCUAAGAUGGAUCGCAGAACUGGACCCCAGUGCAGCUCAUCACUGGAAGCUACUGGAUAACCACACUCCACAUAUGGGCAGCGAGUCCCGGACGAAACUCUCGGCUGUCUGCCAUAGGAUUAUUUAGGCUCCGUGAAGGAGAGCAGAGGAAAUUUGCUACAAGGAUUUCACCAUAGACCUACUUAGACUGGAGAAUUUCAGUAAAAGCUUCCUGACAUUAAAGUGUCCCAGGCUUCUGCGCCCCCUAGUGCAUGAACGCAAGCUCACACCCCUUUAGGAGGGAAGUAUCUUGAAUCCAAGUUCUCUAGAUACACAUAAAUUACUUA